This 465-nucleotide ribosomal RNA is filed under the name uncultured bacterium. Its description in RNAcentral is "partial 16S ribosomal RNA". It matches the Rfam family "Bacterial small subunit ribosomal RNA", at positions 28 to 507 of the family's 1533-position model. The record is from RNAcentral.
GAUAAACGCUGACAGAAUGCUUAACACAUGCAAGUCGAUGCUGGGAGCUAGCUUGCUAGAAGAAGUCAUGGCGGACGGGUGAGUAACGUGUAAAGAACUUACCAUAUAGACUGGGAUAACAGAGGGAAACUUCUGAUAAUACUGGAUAAGUUAGUAGUAGCAUUACUAAGUAAUGAAAGGUAGCAAUACGCUAUAUGAGAGCUUUGCAUCCUAUUAGCUAGUUGGUGGGGUAAAAGCCUACCAAGGCGAUGAUAGGUAGCCGGCCUGAGAGGGUGGACAGCCACAAGGGGACUGAGAUACGGCCCUUACUCCUACGGGAGGCAGCAGUGGGGAAUAUUGGACAAUGGAGGCAACUCUGAUCCAGCAAUUCUGUGUGUGUGAAGAAGGUUUUAGGACUGUAAAACACUUUUAGUAGGGAAGAAAGAAAUGACGGUACCUACAGAAGAAGCGACGGCUAAAUACGUG